GAGAUUGAUCUCUCUCUCUCUCUCUCUCUCUCUCUCUCUCUCUCUCUCUCUGUGUGUGUGUGUGUGUGGGGGGAGAGAGAGAGAGAGAGAGAGAGAGAGAGAGAGAGAGAGAGAGAGAGAGAAAGAGAGA
Molecule: microRNA precursor, 130 nt
Filed under: Marmota monax (woodchuck)
Lineage: Eukaryota; Metazoa; Chordata; Mammalia; Rodentia; Sciuridae
Source: RNAcentral